AAUAGAUACCCUGGUAGUCCAUGCCGUAAACGAUGUCUACUAGCCGUUGGGGCCCUUGAGGCUUUAGUGGCGCAGCUAACGCGAUAAGUAGACCGCCUGGGGAGUACGGUCGCAAGACUAAAACUCAAAUGAAUUGACGGGGGCCCGCACAAGCGGUGGAGCAUGUGGUUUAAUUCGAUGCAACGCGAAGAACCCUACCUGGCCUUGACAUACAGAGAACUUUCCAGAGAUGGAUUGGUGCCUUCGGGAACUCUGAUACAGGUGCUGCAUGGCUGUCGUCAGCUCGUGUCGUGAGAUGUUGGGUUAAGUCCCGCAACGAGCGCAACCCUUUUCCUUAUUUGCCAGCACUUCGGGUGGGAACUUUAAGGAUACUGCCAGUGACAAACUGGAGGAAGGCGGGGACGACGUCAAGUCAUCAUGGCCCUUACGGCCAGGGCUACACACGUGCUACAAUGGUCGGUACAAAGGGUUGCUACUGCGCGAGCAGAUGCUAAUCUCAAAAAGCCGAUCGUAGUCCGGAUCGC
Molecule: ribosomal RNA, 524 nt
Filed under: uncultured bacterium
Lineage: Bacteria
Description: bacterial SSU rRNA
Rfam family: Bacterial small subunit ribosomal RNA
Source: RNAcentral